Chiroxiphia lanceolata (lance-tailed manakin) is the source of this 644-nucleotide long non-coding RNA. RefSeq lists it as uncharacterized. NCBI's taxonomy places the organism in Eukaryota, Metazoa, Chordata, Aves, Passeriformes, Pipridae. The record is from RefSeq and is a predicted model, not a curated record. The transcript is spliced from 2 exons.
UGGCCGCCCGCCCGCGGCCGCCGCCUCCGCCCGGCGCCGCUCCGGCCCCCGUGUUAUUGUUGUUGCUGUUCCGGGUCUUGUUGGCGCCGCCGCCGCGGGCCCCGGCCCGCUCAUCCUCGCGCAGCUUCUUCAGCUUCUUCAGGUCUCAAAUUCAGCCUAAGAACUUCGGAGAGGCCGCGUGUGCACCUUUGGCGGGUCCUUCCCGAUGCGCUUGGUGGAAGCGAACCUUUCUCUGUCGGAAGUCCCGGCCAUCAGGACAUCUCGGCUGUGAGGAGACACAGCCUCUCAUACAUCUGAGAAGACAUAAGCUGCUCUAGGGGAGGCUUAGGUUGGACAUUUGGAGUAAUCUCUUCACAGAAAGAGUGAUUGGGCAUUGGAAUGGGUUGUCCAGGGAGGUGGUGGAGUCACCUUCCGUGGAGGUGUUUAAGGAAAAACUGGAUGUGGCCCUUAGUGCCGUGGUCUAAUUGACGUGGUGGUGUUUGCUCAUAGGUUGGACUCGAUGGCCGCAGAGGUCUUUUUCAACCUAAUUGAUUCUGUGUGAUUCUGUGUAUGAUUAAGUUUGUAAUUACCUGGGUGUAUUUUGUGCUUUUCUUUUGGAAAAUACAGUCAUUCAUAUAUAUUGCAGUUGAAACUGCUGAACUGUA